This 395-nucleotide unclassified non-coding RNA is filed under the name soil metagenome. Its description in RNAcentral is "partial contains 5.8S ribosomal RNA, internal transcribed spacer 2, and large subunit ribosomal RNA". The stretch from base 1 to 121 matches the Rfam family "5.8S ribosomal RNA", at positions 35 to 154 of the family's 154-position model. The record is from RNAcentral.
GAUGAAGAACGUAGCGAACGUGCGAAACGUAAUGUGAAUUGCAGAAUUCAGUGAAUCAUCGAAUCUUUGAACGCAUCUUGCGCUCCUUGGUAUUCCGAGGAGCAUGCCUGUUUGAGUGUCGUGAAUACUCUCAACUUCAACCCUUUUUUCGGAAAGGGAGGAAGGUUGGACUUGGGUGUUUGUUGAAGUGCGAGCUUCGACUCAUCCUAAAUGCAUUAGCGAUCUGCCUCGAUCACACACAAUGUGAUAAUUAAAACUAAAGCAUUGUUUAAUGAUCAAGUCGAGACUGCUUCUAACUGUCGCAAGACAAUAACGUGCAUACAUUUGUGCAUGUCAUUUGACCUCAAAUCAGGUAGGACUACCCGCUGAACUUAAGCAUAUCAAUAAGCGGAGGA